This 1105-nucleotide long non-coding RNA is filed under the name Panax ginseng (ginseng). Its description in RNAcentral is "long non-coding RNA (PGIN_LNC013247)". Lineage: Eukaryota; Viridiplantae; Streptophyta; Magnoliopsida; Apiales; Araliaceae. The record is from RNAcentral.
AACUUUCUCCACUUUAGCUGCAGUGUUAAUUGCAAGAGUGAGCAAAUAAAUGCUCACUAAUAUAGAACGUAGCAAUGAUAAUAACAUGAGAGUGAACAACGAAAGCUGAACAAUAAGGAACUUGUUCCACAAAUCAAAAUAGAAAACAAGUUUGAACUUUAAUUAUUUGAAGGUCUUAAGACCACGAACUAUGUCCCGGGUACUUAGGUAUUAUUACCCAACCUUAACAGUCAUUUAGACUAUACGGACCCUUCUUAACGUACUUAGGGAGAUCAGCCCUUUGUACCAUGUAUUGUGCACAAACAUCUAAACGUUACACGUACAAAAUCCCCUAUGUUAGGGUUGUUCGUCUCAGUUUGGAGUUAGAAUUUCUGCACUAAAGAAAGUUUAGUUUGGAACUAGCUUAUCAGUGUUUCUAGAAUUUUAGAACACUAUUCGAUUUACAUCAGUAAAGGUUUGAUACAAGAGUUUAUAACUGAACAAGACUAUUUAGAUCAAAGAUUAAUAACAACAGUAUAUAUUUAGGUAAACAUGGAAUUCAUGCAAAGUGCUACAUUCAAAUGAGUUAGGACAAUCUCAUUUAAAGCAAUGAAUUAAAGCAUUACAAAUUCUGAAUAAUGAGAAACAAAAAUGUGAAACUCAUUCGAGGUAACGAAACAGGUCACAAGAGUUUAUACAAACAUAUUAAAGAUAGAUUAGGCUUGCUCAAUUUUAAGAACUUGCACAAUAAUAUUAUAGAAAUGGAGACUUGCAUUCAAUACGAAAAGAAUGAAGUUAGAAAGCUUUGCUAAAUGUAAAGAGUUAAGAUUUAAGAACUUGCUCAAUCGUAAGGAGAUAAGGUUUAGAAACUUGCACAAUUAUAAAAGUAGGGUUAGAGAACUUGCUUUGAUUGUAAGCUACACAAAUGUAAAAUAAUCUUAAUUAUCCUACACAUAUCAUUGAAAUCGCAAUAAUAAUUAAUUGCAUGAAUAUUAGCUUUAACCAUCAUUAAGGUCAUAACCCUAACCUAGCACCUAACCACGUUAGUUAACACCUUAACGAUUCUGAAAUCACACUAUAAACCUUAUCAUUUAUAUUCAACUUUUGAAAACAUCACAUUUGGUUC